UAACGAAUGACCGUGGAUUGUUGCGAAA
Molecule: small RNA, 28 nt
Filed under: Bombyx mori (domestic silkworm)
Lineage: Eukaryota; Metazoa; Arthropoda; Insecta; Lepidoptera; Bombycidae
Description: ovarian small RNA-18796
Source: RNAcentral